Molecule: transfer RNA, 76 nt
Filed under: Sutterella wadsworthensis
Lineage: Bacteria; Pseudomonadati; Pseudomonadota; Betaproteobacteria; Burkholderiales; Sutterellaceae
Also listed under: 4 other names
Description: tRNA-Val
Rfam family: tRNA
About the family: Transfer RNA (tRNA) molecules are approximately 80 nucleotides in length. Their secondary structure includes four short double-helical elements and three loops (D, anti-codon, and T loops). Further hydrogen bonds mediate the characteristic L-shaped molecular structure. tRNAs have two regions of fundamental functional importance: the anti-codon, which is responsible for specific mRNA codon recognition, and the 3' end, to which the tRNAs corresponding amino acid is attached (by aminoacyl-tRNA synthetases). tRNAs cope with the degeneracy of the genetic code in two manners: having more than one tRNA (with a specific anti-codon) for a particular amino acid; and 'wobble' base-pairing, i.e. permitting non-standard base-pairing at the 3rd anti-codon position.
Source: RNAcentral
GGGUGCUUAGCUCAGUUGGUAGAGCACCGCCUUUACACGGCGAUGGUCGGGAGUUCGACCCUCUCAGCACCCACCA